Molecule: ribosomal RNA, 497 nt
Filed under: uncultured bacterium
Lineage: Bacteria
Description: partial 16S ribosomal RNA
Rfam family: Bacterial small subunit ribosomal RNA
Source: RNAcentral
GAUGAACGCUGGCGGCGUGCCUAAUACAUGCAAGUCGAGCGAACAGACGAGGAGCUUGCUCCUCUGACGUUAGCGGCGGACGGGUGAGUAACACGUGGAUAACCUACCUAUAAGACUGGGAUAACUUCGGGAAACCGGCGUUAAUACCGGAAAAUAUAUUGAACCGCACGGUUCAAUAGUGAAAGGUGGUUUUGCUGUAACUUAUAGAUGGAUCCGAGCCACAUUAGCUAGUUGGUAAGGUAACGGCUUACCAAGGCAACGAUGCAUAGCCGAACUGAGAGGGUGAUCGGCCGCACUAGAACGGGGACGCGGGGCAGACUCCUGAGUGAGGCACCGGUAGGGAAUCUUCCGCAGUGGGCAGAAGCCGGUCGGGGGAACGGCGCGUGAGUGAGGAAGGUCUUCGGAGCGUAAAACUCUGUUGUUAGGGAAGAACAAACGUGUAAUUAACUAUGCGCGUAUUGACGGUACCUAAUCAGAAAGCCACGGCUAACUACGUG